GAUGAACGCUGGCGGCGUGCCUAAUACAUGCAAGUCGAACGAGGUGCUUUUGUAGCAAUACGAGAGUAUCCUAGUGGCGAACGGGUGAGUAACGCGUUGGUGACCUACCCCAAGUGUGGGAUAACAGUCCGAAAGGAUUGCUAAUACCGCAUGUGGUCUUCGGGUUUAGAAACUGAUGACUAAAGGAGCAAUUCGCUUUGGGAGGGACCUGCGUCCCAUCAGCUAGUUGGUGAGGUAAUGGCUCACCAAGGCUACGACGGGUAGGGGACCUGAGAGGGUGACCCCCCACAAUGGAACUGAAACACGGUCCAUACACCUACGGGUGGCAGCAGUAGGGAAUAUUGCACAAUGGGCGAAAGCCUGAUGCAGCAACGCCGCGUGUGCGAUGAAGGCCUUCGGGUCGUAAAGCACUUUCGACGGGGACGAUGAUGACGGUACCCGUAGAAGAAGCCCCGGCCUAACUUCGUGCCAGCAGCCGCGGUAAU
RNAcentral lists this ribosomal RNA (485 nucleotides) under uncultured bacterium. RNAcentral describes it as "bacterial SSU rRNA". It matches the Rfam family "Bacterial small subunit ribosomal RNA", at positions 28 to 524 of the family's 1533-position model. The record is from RNAcentral.